RNAcentral lists this ribosomal RNA (251 nucleotides) under uncultured prokaryote. RNAcentral's name for it is "partial 16S rRNA". It matches the Rfam family "Bacterial small subunit ribosomal RNA", at positions 525 to 775 of the family's 1533-position model. The record is from RNAcentral.
ACGGAGGGUGCAAGCGUUAUCCGGAUUCACUGGGUUUAAAGGGUGCGUAGGCGGGUGUGUAAGUCCGUGGUGAAAUCUCCGAGCUUAACUCGGAAACUGCCAUGGGUACUGCAUGUCUUGAAUGUUGUGGAGGUGAGCGGAAUAUGUCAUGUAGCGGUGAAAUGCUUAGAUAUGACAUAGAACACCAAUUGCGAAGGCAGCUCACUACACAAAUAUUGACGCUGAGGCACGAAAGCGUGGGGAUCAAACAG